GUUGUAUAGUCAAGUAAUUAAGUGCAUGUGGUGGAUGCCUUGGCAGUCAGAGGCGAUGAAAGACGUGAUAGCCUGCGAAAAGCUCCGGGGAGGCGGCAAAUAUCCUUUGAUCCGGAGAUUUCUGAAUGGGGGAACCCACCUACUUUAAGGUAGGUAUUGCAACAUGAAUACAUAGUGUUGCAAGGCGAACGAGGGGAAGUGAAACAUCUCAGUACCCUUAGGAAAAGAAAUCAAUUGAGAUUCCCUCAGUAGCGGCGAGCGAACGGGGAUCAGCCCAUUAAGUUAUGUGUGUUUUAGUGGAACGCUCUGGGAAGUGCGAACGUAGAGGGUGAUAUUCCCGUACACGAAAGGGCACACAUAAUGAUGACGAGUAGGGCGAGGCACGUGAAACCUUGUCUGAAUAUGGGGGGACCAUCCUCCAAGGCUAAAUACUCCUGACUGACCGAUAGUGAACCAGUACCGUGAGGGAAAGGCGAAAAGAACCCCUGUGAGGGGAGUGAAAUAGAUCCUGAAACCGCAUGCAUACAAGCAGUGGGAGCACCUUCGUGGUGUGACUGCGUACCUUUUGUAUAAUGGGUCAGCGACUUAUAUUCAGUAGCGAGGUUAACCGUAUAGGGGAGCCGUAGAGAAAUCGAGUCUUAAUAGGGCGUUUAGUUGCUGGGUAUAGACCCGAAACCAGGCGAUCUAUCCAUGAGCAGGUUGAAGGUUGGGUAACACUAACUGGAGGACCGAACCCACUGUCGUUGAAAAGCCAGGGGAUGACUUGUGGAUAGGGGUGAAAGGCUAAUCAAGCCUGGUGAUAGCUGGUUCUCCCCGAAAGCUAUUUAGGUAGCGCCUCGGACGAAUACCAUAGGGGGUAGAGCACUGUUUCGGCUAGGGGGUCAUCCCGACUUACCAAACCGAUGCAAACUCCGAAUACCUAUGAGUACUAUCCGGGAGACAGACUGCGGGUGCUAACGUCCGUAGUCAAGAGGAAAACAAUCCAGACCGCCAGCUAAGGCCCCAAAAUCAUAGUUAAGUGGGAAACGAUGUGGGAAGGCAUAGACAGCUAGGAGGUUGGCUUAGAAGCAGCCACCCUUUAAAGAAAGCGUAAUAGCUCACUAGUCGAGUCGGCCUGCGCGGAAGAUGUAACGGGGCUAAAAC
This 1143-nucleotide ribosomal RNA is filed under the name Salmonella enterica subsp. enterica serovar Give. Its description in RNAcentral is "partial 23S ribosomal RNA". It matches the Rfam family "Bacterial large subunit ribosomal RNA", at positions 1 to 1187 of the family's 2925-position model. The record is from RNAcentral. Lineage: Bacteria; Pseudomonadati; Pseudomonadota; Gammaproteobacteria; Enterobacterales; Enterobacteriaceae.